UGGGGAAUUUUGGACGAUGGGCGAAAGCCUGAUCCAGCAAUGCCGCGUGUGUGAAGAAGGCCUUCGGGUUGUAAAGCACUUUUGUCCGGAAAGAAAUCCUUGGCUCUAAUACAGUCGGGGGAUGACGGUACCGGAAGAAUAAGCACCGGCUAACUACGUGCCAGCAGCCGCGGUAAUACGUAGGGUGCAAGCGUUAAUCGGAAUUACUGGGCGUAAAGCGUGCGCAGGCGGUUUGCUAAGACCGAUGUGAAAUCCCCGGGCUCAACCUGGGAACUGCAUUGGUGACUGGCAGGCUAGAGUAUGGCAGAGGGGGGUAGAAUUCCACGUGUAGCAGUGAAAUGCGUAGAGAUGUGGAGGAAUACCGAUGGCGAAGGCAGCCCCCUGGGCCAAUACUGACGCUCAUGCACGAAAGCGUGGGGAGCAAACAGGAUUAGAUACCCUGGUAGUCCACGCCCUAAACGAUGUCAACUAGUUGUUGGGGAUUCAUUUCCUUAGUAACGUAGCUAACGCGUGAAGUUGACCGCCUGGGGAGUACGGUCGCAAGAUU
This 547-nucleotide ribosomal RNA is filed under the name uncultured bacterium. RNAcentral's name for it is "partial 16S ribosomal RNA". It matches the Rfam family "Bacterial small subunit ribosomal RNA", at positions 355 to 895 of the family's 1533-position model. The record is from RNAcentral.